This is a long non-coding RNA of Gallus gallus (chicken), 1934 nucleotides long. The record is from Ensembl. Lineage: Eukaryota; Metazoa; Chordata; Aves; Galliformes; Phasianidae.
UUCACCAUCCGUAUGGUUUGAGUGGCAGAGUUUCUUUUAAGAGGACCUUAACCCUCAGUCCACUAGGAAGAUACCCUCUCAACAAAUAUUUUCUGUGUGAAUACUUGGGCAGCUGUGGUCUCAGCACUAUAAUUAUAGGAGUACACAGAACUACUUCUGAGAGAUCUACAGAAGUUGCAGCUCCUCACAAAUAAGAACUAGUAGCCUGUGGCUUUCACAGUGUAAGCACGUUUCAGUGCUAUGGCACUGACCUAAGCAAACCCUCCCAAGACAUCAACCUCCAACAGUGGACUAAGGUUUUAUUGUACCUAGAAUGUGACUGAUGUAUAAGAAGGAAGCAGCAAAGAUGUCAAGGAGAAAAUGGAAAACUGAAAAAUGGGAUAUAUACUAAAGCAUUACCAAAGCCUUUCAUAUAUUUUUGUGCAAAUUAUUACCAUAUUUAACCAGCAGUUCUUCUUUGGAAAGAUGCUCUAGUUGUGUCAUAUACUGUGACAAGCAGUACAUGUUGAAUUUUGGUUCAUAAUUUUUGCCUGAAUACGCAUAGUUAACCUCUAUGCCCAAAUGUAAAGAAAGAACAAAAUGAAUCUGAAACUAUUCCUUGCCACAGGGUUGGCACCGAGAGCUGGCUUUUCUGAAAUGUAAACAGCAAAGUGAGAAAGUUCCAUUUGCUACUGCAGUGCUGUUUGUUUAAACCUAAAUCUGCAAAUAUGAUUGAAGCCUGGCUUGGUUUCAAAAAUUUGAUAUGUUAUUUAAAGCUGCAGUGCCAUGUUUUGAAUCUCAGACUAUUUACUUUCUUCAGGCUUAUUGUUACGUUGUUAAGCUGCCUCUCCUUCUUUCACUAAUAUUAAAGUUAUUUUUAAGGGACAUUGAAAGUGGAACUGUGGGAAACUCUUCUAUACAAUUCAAAACCACAUGCAAGCCUCAUCUGCUAAAUAGACUCUUGACCUCAAAGGCCCUUGUUAAGUUUCAGAAGAUUUGCAAGUUUGCUCCAGGGUCAUCUUGAAGCUUCUGGCUAAUGUGAAGUUGUUACAGCAAGAAUUUUCAAAGAAUUUUAGAUGAUAGGAAACUAUGUGCAAAAAUCAUCCAAAGUUCUGUGAGCCCCAAAGGAGUAAACAGCAUUUGGAACGUGAUGCACUUCAGAGUGAAAGGAUUUUUUAAAAAUACAUCAGGAAUGAUUAAUAAUUUUAUACUUUUAAGUGACCUGAUUAAAUGCAAACUAAAAUUAACAAGAUUUCAGCUGAGGUCAUUACUCCCUAGAUAGCAGCCCAAUAGUAUUCUUGAUUGGAAAACAUUUAAAGAAUGACCAAAGAAAAGAAAACGUAAUUAUCUCCUAUUUAUAAGCAGGAAAACUCAAGAAUUACAUAAAUGAUACAACUUCCCUAAGGUCACCCUGAAAGAUCAGUACCAAUGUCAAAAGAGGACUGAGAAUUUCAGAUGGUUGAUCUUAUGCUUUACCAAAAAAAAAAAAAAAAAAAGGCACUGUUUCAUUUCUCUAGUUAUGAGAAGUCUAUGGGAUAUGACUGUCACUCAAAGAAGACAUCUUAGAUACUCAACUGCAUUCCUAAUUGCGCUACUGAAUCAAAGGAGAAGACUGCUGUUUGCAUAGUUUUUGGGGAACAAAGAGAAAAUUUGUAGCACCAUAGAAUGAUUAAUGUUUGAAAGACCAUUAAGAAGAUUUAGUCCAACCAUCAACCCAUUCAUGCACUAUUUUAAUUAAUAAUGCUGUCUUCAGGAGGUGAUGAUUCUAUUUAGUACCAGGUUUUGGCAAGUCACACUAUGACUGGAUCAGCAGAAUUUUUACAGCAACUGCUUUUAAGAGCAUUUACCUAGGUUGGAUACCUGACGUGUUUCACACUGAAAUUCAGCUGAGCUAUGUUCAGUCUUUUUAAAUCAGAUAUGACAUUAAAAACAACAACAAAACCAGAGAAGGAGUU